CCCGCUGAACUUAAGCAUAUCAAUAAGCGGAGGAAAAGAAACCAACCGGGAUUACCUCAGUAACGGCGAGUGAAGCGGUAACAGCUCAAAUUUGAAAUCUGGCCUCGGCCCGAGUUGUAAUUUGUAGAAGAUGCUUCGGGUGUGGCUCCGGUCUAAGUUCCUUGGAACAGGACGUCAUAGAGGGUGAGAAUCCCGUAUGUGACUGGGUGCCUCCGCCUGUGUGAAGCUCUUUCGACGAGUCGAGUUGUUUGGGAAUGCAGCUCAAAAUGGGUGGUAUAUUUCAUCUAAAGCUAAAUAUUGGCCAGAGACCGAUAGCGCACAAGUAGAGUGAUCGAAAGAUGAAAAGCACUUUGGAAAGAGAGUUAAACAGUACGUGAAAUUGUUGAAAGGGAAGCGUUUGCAACCAGACUUGCGCGCUGCCGAUCAUCCGGUGUUCUCACCGGUGCACUCGGUUGCGUUCAGGCCAGCAUCGGUUUGGGUGGCUGGAUAAAGGCCUUGGGAAUGUAGCUUCUUUCGGGGAGUGUUAUAGCCCUGGGUGCAAUGCAGCCUACCUGGACCGAGGACCGCGCCUCGGCUAGGAUGCUGGCGUAAUGGUUGUAAACGACCCGUCUUGAAACACGG
This 621-nucleotide ribosomal RNA is filed under the name uncultured fungus. RNAcentral describes it as "eukaryotic LSU rRNA". It matches the Rfam family "Eukaryotic large subunit ribosomal RNA", at positions 24 to 664 of the family's 3401-position model. Lineage: Eukaryota; Fungi. The record is from RNAcentral.